AUAUCAAUAAGCGGAGGAAAAGAAACUAACCAGGAUUCCCCUAGUAGCGGCGAGCGAACCGGGAAAAGCCCAACUUGAAAAUCUCNNGCCUUGGGCNNNNNGAAUUGUAGUCUAUAGAAGUGUCCUCUGUGACCAGCCAAGCCCAAGUUCCCUGGAAAGGGACGUCAGAGAGGGUGAGAACCCCGUCGGUUUUGGUGUAGGUCACCCCACGAGGCGCUUUCGAAGAGUCGGGUUGUUUGGGAAUGCAGCCCAAAGUAGGUGGUAAAUCCCAUCUAAGGCUAAAUACUGACGAGAGACCGAUAGCGAACAAGUACCGUGAGGGAAAGAUGAAAAGAACUUUGAAAAGAGAGUUAAAAGUGCUUGAAAUUGUUGAGGGGGAAGGGAUUGGAAGCUGUGAGUGCGCCCAGGCUUAUGUUCUCCGCAAGGGGAGCUGUAUGUGCUGGGUGCUGGUCAGCAUGGGUUAGCCGGGAGGGAUAAAAGUGGGGGUUGUUACUCCGCCUAUGUCUCUCGGCUGACUGAGGAUUGUAGGCCGCUCUUUGAGCCCUUCGGGAGCUGCGGCCUCAUGAUGCUGGCGGAAGGCUUCCAAUCCGCCCGUCUUGAAACACGGACCAAGGAGUCUGACAUGUAUGCGAGCCGGUGGGUUGAAAACCAAUGAGACGCAAGUAACCUGACUGGUGGGAUGGCUUGUGCCUGCACCAUCGACCGACCAUGAUCUUCUGUGAAAGGUUUGAGUACGAGCAUACACGACGGGACCCGAAAGAUGGUGAACUAUGCCUGAGCAGGGCGAAGCCAGAGGAAACUCUGGUGGAGGCUCGUAGAUGUGCUGACGUGCAAAUCGCUUUUCGGACUUGGGUAUAGGGGCGAAAGACUAAUCGAACCAUCUAGUAGCUGGUUCCCUCCGAAGUUUCCCCCAGGAUAGCUGGAGCUUGAUCAGUUUUAUCAGGUAAAGCGAAUGAUUAGAGGUACCGGGGAUGAAACAUCCUCGACCUAUUCUCAAACUUUAAAUAGGUAAGACGUUUGGGUUGCUUAAUUGAACCCAGGCAUUCAAUGGGAGCUCCAAGUGGGCCAUUUUUGGUAAGCAGAACUGGCGAUGCGGGAUGAACCGAUAGUCGAGUUAAGGUGCCCAACUGCACGCUAACCUAGAUCCCACAAAGGGUGUUGAUUGAUAUAGACAGCAGGACGGUGGUCAUGGAAGUCGAAAUCCGCUAAGGAGUGUGUAACAACUCACCUGCCGAAUCAAUUAGCCCCGAAAAUGGAUGGGCCUAAAGCGUGCGACCUAUACUCGCGCAUGCUGGCAAGUGCGAAGCUGGCAUGAGUAGGAGGGCGUGGG
RNAcentral lists this ribosomal RNA (1330 nucleotides) under Pleurastrum terricola. RNAcentral describes it as "eukaryotic LSU rRNA". It matches the Rfam family "Eukaryotic large subunit ribosomal RNA", at positions 40 to 1395 of the family's 3401-position model. The record is from RNAcentral. Lineage: Eukaryota; Viridiplantae; Chlorophyta; Chlorophyceae; Chlamydomonadales; Pleurastraceae.